Molecule: ribosomal RNA, 279 nt
Filed under: uncultured bacterium
Lineage: Bacteria
Description: partial 16S ribosomal RNA
Rfam family: Bacterial small subunit ribosomal RNA
Source: RNAcentral
UGCCAGCCGCCGCGGUAAUACGGAGGGGGCUAGCGUUGUUCGGAAUCACUGGGCGUAAAGCGCGCGUAGGCGGUUAGGAAAGUUGGGAGUGAAAGCCCAGGGCUCAACCCUGGAACUGCUCUCAAAACUUCCUGGCUAGAGAAUUAGAGAGGUGGGCGGAAUUCCGAGUGUAGAGGUGAAAUUCGUAGAUAUUCGGAAGAACACCAGUUGCGAAGGCGGCUCACUGGCUAAUUUCUGACGCUGAGGUGCGAAAGCGUGGGGAGCAAACAGGAUUAGAUA